CUCGGGCUAGCUUCCCUGCUGAACCCCACCUUCUCCACUUCCACACACAGCCGGAAGCACGCAAACGCGGCGGCGGGGCGGGGCCAAGGGGCGCCAUUGUGAAGACCGGAAGCAGAGCCGAGGAUUGGUUGGCCGGGAAUAAACAAUAAAGGUGUGUGCCCACAGUUCUCUCUUCCUCUGCCUUGUGACCCACCUGGUAAUUACCCUGAGUGGCCCUGGGUGACAUGCUGUGCACAGCUCCCUCCACUCCUGGAAGAGUUGAGCCCGUAAUGUUGACUUUGGAAGUUUCUGACCUACAACAGAGAAAGAGAGAAGGCUCCUUGAAGAGUGGUUUGGUGUGUGGGUGAAAAUGAGGCAGAGAACGGAAAAGAAAGGAUGAGACAGACUCCUUGUAUGAAACCACGGAAGAAGGAACUAAAACUUUACUGCAUCACAGCCUCAAAUCAGGAACCACUAAGACUUCCUAAACUCUUGCUCUUGUCAUGGCAUCCCCAGGAGGCAGGCCACAUGGGGUGCUAUAGAGAAGCCAGGGUCAUGACUUCAUGCUGUGGCAGCCUGGUUAAGCUGAAGGACAUUGCCCAGAAUUCCCUUUGCUAUGUAUUUCUAGUUGGGAGAUUGGGGAAACGGAGUGGGGCAGGGACUACAAAAAAGCUGUGAAUUUGGGGAACCUGAGAUUUGGAACCUGCUGUCCCUUAUCCUCCUUUGUGGGCAGCAUGACCAGCCUUGCAACUGCUCCAGCUCCCCAUGGAUCCUCCUUUAACUUCCCCACUCCCUGGGCCACGUGUGCAUUUAGCACAGCAAGGAAGGGUCUCCUACUGGAGGGGCCCAUACUACCAAGGUCAGAGGCAAGGAGAGCAAGGAGAACAAGAACUAGGGUGAAUCUCAGUUGCAGUUCUGACUUGUGAGUUCCAUCUUGUUCUUGCUGUCUCUCACUUUAUGUCCAUCUUCCCUUCCCAAGAGACUGCUUACCCAGCUCACACAGUGGCAUAACUAUCAAAUCCCUGUAACAAAUUAUAAAUACACAUCUGGUGGGGCUAUGCCUUUCUUUGAACCUUGACAGAUAGAGAAAGCCACUCAAAAUUUUAGUUGUACUUAACAGAAUGAAUAGGUACUUGGCAACAUGGCUGAGUUACCAUAUGUGGUAACUGCUUACCAUAUGUGGGAGAGAUAAAUCACCUGAUCUGACGAGCAGUUAACUCUGCUGCCUUCCUAACGUGGCAGCAGACACAUUUUUUUCAAAAACUGAUGCAGUGUACAUUUUCUUAAAAUGAUAUAUUCUGGUAUUGUGAUUAAAUGUGCAGUAUAUAUCUACAUACAUUAAAGAGUACAUCCACAAGACUGUACCUAAAGUGUUAACAAUGGUUUCUCCAAGGCUUCUUCCCCUUUGAGUAUUGGGACAACCUCCACUGCAAUUAUUCCAGUCCUUUGUUCCUUCAUGGUUUCUCCUUUAAAAAAACAAUACAAAAUUAAGCUAAGUAAAUCUGAAGUUCUAAUUUGCUUUAUCAAAUGAUUCAUAAAUCAGGCAGCAUUUCAUCUAGUAAGCAAAGAUAUUCUGAGGAGUUAUACAAAAACAGGAGGCUUUUAUAAAAAGGAGGAUUUGGGUAAAGAAGUCAUUAGCAGAGGAAAAAUGAAAGCUCAUCCUAGUAAAGUUAAGAGCACAGGGUGACCGCAGCUUCUCAUUGAGCUGCAGCAUACUCCACUGGCCAUACUUGUUGCUGGGCAAGAAGAAAACCUUCCUUCCUUCCACCAUGUUGUAAAGUAGGGACAACUCCCCCCUUGGAGAUUCAAGGCACAGCUCUUCUUGUUUGGGGAAAUUGAAAAUGACUGGUAGGGCAUAGGAACUCCCCGUUAUGAGCCUUUCCUCUCCAGUCUUAGGUGAUGUUUCUUUUAUUAAUUUCACACUCCAAAUUUAGGGGCCUCAUUGCAGCAAACUCAUUUGCAGAUCAUGGUCUCCUGGGAGCCCUCCUGAAACAAGUCUUUUAUCUUUGUUGUUACAGGUCUUAACUGCCCAUUAUCAAAGUUAGUUUCACUGGCUACCACCAGAAUCUCAGGAGCAAUCUCCUUGUUAGAGAAAAAGUUCUUACACUCUCCUGAAUGACCAUUUCAUAGGUACUGGGGGAAAAAGUGCAGAUAGUCUUUAUUAGUCUUCUUCUUAGCCAUCUACUUCAUUACAUUUAAUGCCUAUGACUCACCAAUAUAUCUAUACUUCCAUAUAUACACUCUUAGUGGCAAUAAAAAAAAGUGGCAGAAAAAAAUAGUAGCUGAAUAAUAUUCCAUUGUGUAUAUGUGCCACAUCUUCUUUAUCCAUUCAUCUACUGAUGGACACUUAGGUUGCUUCCAUUUCUUGGCUAUAUAAAUAGUGCUGUGAUAAACACAGAGGCGCAUUUGUCUUUUUCAAACUUGGCUCCUGCAUUCUUAGGGUAAAUUCCUAGGAGUGGAAUUCCUGGGUCAAAUGGUAUUUCUAUUUUUGAGUUUUUUGAGGAACGUCCAUACUGCUUUCCACAAUGGUUGAACUAAUUUACAUUCCCAUCAGCAGUGUAGGAGGGUUCCCCUUUCUCCACAACCUCGACAACAUUUGUUGUUGUUUGUCUUUUGGAUGUUGGCCAUCCUAAGUGGUGUGAGGUGAUAUCUCAUUGUAGUUUUAAUUUGCAUUUCUCUGAUGAUUAGUGAUGUGGAGCCUCUUUUCAUGUGCCUGUUGGCCAUCUGAAUUUCUUCUUUGAAGAAGUGUCUGUUCAGUUCCUCUGCCCAUUUUUUAAUUGGCUUAUUUGCUUUUUGUUUGUUGAGGUGCAUGAACUCUUUAUAUAAUUUGGAUGUCAACCCCUUAUCGGAUAUGUCAUUUAUGAAUAUAUUCUCCCAUACUAUAGGAUGACUUUUUGUUCUACUGAUGGUGUCCUUUGCUGUACAGAAGCUUUUUAGUUUGAUAUAAUCCCACUUGUUCAUUUUUGCUUUUGUUUCCCUUGCUUGGGGAGAUAAUGUUCAUGAAGAAGUUGCCCAUGUUUAUGUCCAAGAGAUUUUUGCCUAUGUUUUUUUCUAAGAGUUUUAUGGUUUCAUGACUUACAUUCAGGUCUUUGAUCCAUUUCGAAUUUACUUUUGUGUAUGGGGUUAGACAAUGAUGCAGUUUCAUUCUCUUACAUGUAGCUGUCCAGUUUUGCCAACACCAGCUAUUGAAGAGGCUGUCAUUUUCCCAUUGUAUAUCCAUGGCUCCUUUAUCGUAUAUUAAUUGACCAUGUAUGCUUGGGUUUAUAUCUGGGCUCUCUAGUCUGUUCCAUUGGUCUAUGGGUCUGUUCUUGUGCCAGUACCAAAUUGUUUUGAUUACUGUGGCUUUGUAGUAGAGCUUGAAGUCAGGGAGUUUAAUUCUCCUGCUUUAUUCUUCCUUCUCAGGAUUGCUUUGGCUAUUCGGGGUCUUUUGUGGUUCCAUAUGAAUUUUAGAACUAUUUGCUCUAGUUCAUAGACUGGCUAACAUUCUAGACAUUAUUGCAAAAUAAUGAAGCUCCUAAGUAAACUUGACUCAGAAACACACAGAACAUUGUGUAGAACCCCAUCUCUUUCCUCACCUUACAUCCCAGCUCCACUCCACCUCCUCUCUCCCUGGAAAUAAGGUGAUAGUCCUCUUAAGUGAUUAUGUUGUACCUUUUUUAAGAUACUUUAACAUACAUCUCCACCCUCUCAAAACUAGACACCUGAAAUAUCCUAAGAGAUUUCCGACUAUAAGAAGGUGGGUAUGCUUCCAUAAAGUAUUUUAUUUUACUAUUUAAUUACACCAAUAAGAUCUAAAAUUCAUUUUAGAAUUUACUAUGGAAAAUUUAAGUUCCAUUUCUGCUACUACUCCUACUCGCAUGACUGGCAGGUGUUUUCCUAAUAAUGUGUGGAACAAGAACUUUAUGUGACCCUUACUUCCCACAGUGUUGCAUUUGGGGGAGGUAUAACUGAACCUGCUCCUGAAGGGUGCAGACUCUGUGAGAACAAAGAAAGAGGCUAACAAGUCCAGCUUGAAUUCCAUAGAGGUUUAUUGGUGGAAUCUUAACCUACAGAAGCUUGUCCUGGGUAGCCACAAGAUACUUGGAUCUCUGCACAGCUUUGAAUUUAGGUAGGCUAAUUUAUAGAGGCAAGGAGAAAGGGUCUACAGGCAAGACAACCACUAGUGUACACAAUGGAGCAGGGGCUGACAUUUGAAUAUUAUCGUUGGAAUUUAGAGCAACAAAUCCUGCCCUAGGGAACAAUGUUACUUGUUCCAAGUUAGAUAUUAUCUAAAGAAUACUUGUAAAGGAAGGGGAGUGUAAAGGUGAUCUAUCAGUUAACAUGUCAGGUUUGACAAGAGGGCAGGGCAUUCAUUACUCUUGCUCAGAGAUACACAGUAACUCUGAGAGAUGGAUAGUUUUAUCUCAGUUUUACAGAUGAGGGACUUGUCCAAGGUGUAGAAAUAUGUUAAGGAUGCUUAACUCAAAUUGGAGUCAGGAAAUCAUGGAAGAAGGGCUUUCAUGCACAUAGUACUCAUUGCAGCUUGCACGACCCAGCUAGAAGAAGGAAGAUUCCCUAUUGGCCUGGUACUAACAAGCUUUAGGUGCCCAGCAAGCUGUUGUUGCCUAUAGCCAAUAAGAAGCCACCACCACUUCAAACCCUCAUUUCCUUCUAAUGACAUUUUGUCCCAACGACCCCUCCCAAUAUUCUCCUUUCCUCUAUAAAGGGACUCUCCUCCUUGUUCUCCACACUUGCCUAUGGUUUGCCUAAGUUUGCCUGUUCCAAAUUGCAAUUCCUCUGCUGCUCCAGAGUAGACUCAAUUUUGCUGGCUGAGUCUUUUUCUGAAUCUCCUUACCUUUUUCUUUUAAAAUGUUGAAAAGAUUAUCCAUAUAGGAAGUGGCAGAUUCUGGAUUUAAACCAUUCUAUCAAACCCUCAAGUCUAUGGUCUUUUAAAUUCUCUACUAGAUUGCCAGGCUUUGCUUUGUAAGAUUCCUACAUGCGCUAACUUCACUUUCCAAGGUUUACAUAACAUCAGUCCCCACAAUAUUGUUCAAAUUUCAGUUAAUAUGGCAUAUUAACUGUAACUGCAUAAAAUAUAAACUUUGCUGCUAGCUCUUCAGGCCAGAAAUCACUACUUAAUAAAAAACAUGCUUCAUGAUCAGUAAGCCAUGUAAGUUCUCUGAAAGUCUUUUGGUGAUCACUGCUAGUCUGUUUCAGUCACACAUGGACAGAAAAGCAUGUGAUUGUGUUGUUUCUUGUCUCCCAAAAUAAACACAUUGACAUUUUACAGAAUUGGAUAAUCAAAAGAGGGAAUUGACCAACAAAAAAUGACAGUGCAGCAAAUAAAAAAAAAUGAUCAUGAUGGGAGUGAAAUUAGAAUUAAGAGUAAAUGGAAUUACAGGAGAAAUAGCUGGGGUAAUGUUGAUACUGCCACUAUUUGAGAGACUCUAUGUCUGCAGCUAGAGGGACCUAUUGAAGGGAAACUUAUUAAACAUAAAUGAGGAAAGUGUUUGUGAUGAAAAGGAUGAAGAUGUCCUCAAGGAAAUGGUGCUGACAGAAAAGUUCCGAUUAAAGGAUUCUUGGAGAUAUUCAUGACAUAAAAAGCGCAAAGGAUAAACUAUUGGAAGCUGAUCCAAAUUUAUGAAGAAGUAUGACAAUUACCAAGGCAUUGAAAAGAUGGUCACGUUCUCAUGAGCUGUACAUAGCAUUGUUCAGACUAUUUUUGAUUUUUACAAACAAAACACCUUAGUCAUCAAUGUUUCUAAUGAGUUAAGAAUACAAAACAAAUAUUAGUUUCAGUAUUGUUUUCAUACAGGCAUACCUUAGAGAGACUGUGGGUUUGGUUCCAGACCACCACAAUAAAGUGAGCAUAACAAUAAAGUGAGUCAAAUUAAUUUUUGACUUCCCAGUGCAUACAAAAGUUAUAUUUACACUACAUGUUAGUCUAUUAAGUGUGCAAUAGCAUUAUUUCUUAAAAAAAUGCACAUAUCUUAAUUUUAAAUACUUCAUUGAUAAAAAAUGCUAACCAUUAUCUGAGCUUUCAGCAAGUUGUAAUCACUGAUCAACUUACCAUGACAAAUAUAAUAAUAAUGAAAAAGUUUGAAAUACUGCAAGAACUACCAAAAUGUGUCACAGAGACACAAAGUGGGCAAAUGCUUUCAGAAAAAUGGCACUGAUAAGUUGCUAGACUCAAGGUUGCCACAAAUUCUCAAUUUGUAAAAAAACCCAGUAUCUGUGAAGCACAAUAAAGUGAAUAGCAAUAAAAUAACGUAAGCCUAUACCCUUAGAACUGACAGUGUUUUUAAUGCUUCAGCAAAAAAAUUUUAAAGGUCACAGAACAAUCAUAAUUUUUCUCUAUUGAGUGUUAAGAUCAUUUUGCACAGCAUCAGCUUGCACGGUCUCUCUAACAGUCCCACACCACUCUUCAAAGUGAGGAACAUGCACACACAUACAACAAGGAAUCAGUUUGCCUUAAGAUCAUUAGAAUGGGAUCCAAACACUCUGGGUUUCUAUGCAGCCAUUUACUGUUUGGGUAAUUUUGGAAAAGUCGCUUGCCUUCUGUGGCCUGAGUCUCCUCAACAGUGAAAUUAAGGGAUCUUAACUGUGACUCUUUCUCUUCCGUCCUGGCCGGUAUGACUUCUGAUGACAACCUACAGUAAAUGCCUUCCUUUUGUCCUCUAAGAGAGUGGGUCACCUGACUCAAUCCACAACGCUUGACCACAUGUAUCAAAUCUGCAUAAUCUACUGAAAUCUCUAAAUGCAAUGAAACUGUAAAUGCAUUUUGAUGUUUCCUGGAAAUGUGAGCUAUAAACGCUUCAUUUCCUAUUGGGCUGACAUAGAGUCUCAAAGCUGGCUUUUAUUCAUCCCGCCCCAACCUGAUAGAGGCCCUGUUUCUGUCUGAGCCCCUCUGAACAUGGCUCUUCCUGGUGUUGAACAUACUUGAACAACUGUGCCCCUUAAAUGUGCCUUUAUGUUUACAGACUCUUAGAGGAUGUCGAAAACCUCACUUUUGCUCUCUGUUAAUGCUUACAAUAGUUACUAGAGUUCUUCCUAAGGAUUAAUAAAGGCAAUUAUCUAUUAAUUUCAAAGCAGUUUACUUAAAAAAGUUAUUAGCUUUCAUUUAUUUAUCUAUUAA
Long non-coding RNA from Manis pentadactyla (Chinese pangolin), 7093 nucleotides. RefSeq lists it as uncharacterized. The record is from RefSeq and is a predicted model, not a curated record. The transcript has 3 exons. NCBI's taxonomy places the organism in Eukaryota, Metazoa, Chordata, Mammalia, Pholidota, Manidae.